AUUGAACGCUGGCGGCAGGCCUAACACAUGCAAGUCGAACGAGACCUUCGGGUCUAGUGGCGCACGGGUGCGUAACGCGUGGGAAUCUGCCCUUCGGUUGGGAAUAACUGAGAGAAAUUUCAGCUAAUACCUUAUAAUGUCUUCGGACCAAAGGUUUAUCGCCGAGGGAUGAGCCCGCGUAGGAUUAGGUAGUGGGUGGGGUAAUGGCCUACCAAGCCGACGAUCCUUAGCUGGUCUGAGAGGAUGAUCAGCCACACUGGGACUGAGACACGGCCCAGACUCCUACGGGAGGCAGCAGUGGGGAAUAUUGGACAAUGGGCGAAAGCCUGAUCCAGCAAUGCCGCGUGAGUGAUGAAGGCCUUAGGGUUGUAAAGCUCUUUUACCCGGGAUGAUAAUGACAGUACCGGGAGAAUAAGCUCCGGCUAACUCCGUGCCAGCAGCCGCCGUAA
This 449-nucleotide ribosomal RNA is filed under the name uncultured bacterium. Its description in RNAcentral is "partial 16S ribosomal RNA". It matches the Rfam family "Bacterial small subunit ribosomal RNA", at positions 30 to 523 of the family's 1533-position model. The record is from RNAcentral.